RNAcentral lists this ribosomal RNA (465 nucleotides) under Vreelandella stevensii. RNAcentral describes it as "partial 16S ribosomal RNA". It matches the Rfam family "Bacterial small subunit ribosomal RNA", at positions 338 to 795 of the family's 1533-position model. The record is from RNAcentral. Lineage: Bacteria; Pseudomonadati; Pseudomonadota; Gammaproteobacteria; Oceanospirillales; Halomonadaceae.
CCUACGGGGGGCCGCAGUGGGGAAUAUUGGACAAUGGGCGAAAGCCUGAUCCAGCCAUGCCGCGUGUGUGAAGAAGGCCUUCGGGUUGUAAAGCACUUUCAGUGGGGAAGAAAGCCUUGGGGCUAAUACCCUCGAGGAAGGACAUCACCCACAGAAGAAGCACCGGCUAACUCCGUGCCAGCAGCCGCGGUAAUACGGAGGGUGCGAGCGUUAAUCGGAAUUACUGGGCGUAAAGCGCGCGUAGGCGGUCUGAUAAGCCGGUUGUGAAAGCCCCGGGCUCAACCUGGGAACGGCAUCCGGAACUGUCAGGCUAGAGUGCAGGAGAGGAAGGUAGAAUUCCCGGUGUAGCGGUGAAAUGCGUAGAGAUCGGGAGGAAUACCAGUGGCGAAGGUGGCCUUCUGGACUGACACUGACGCUGAGGUGCGAAAGCGUGGGUAGCAAACAGGAUUAGAUACCCUGGUAGUC